ACGGAAGGCAGCAGUGGGGAAUAUUGGGCAAUGGGGGCAACCCUGACCCAGCAACGCCGCGUGAAGGAAGAAGGCUUUCGGGUUGUAAACUUCUUUGACGAGGGACGAUAAUGACGGUACCUCGAAAACAAGCCACGGCUAACUACGUGCCAGCAGCCGCGGUAAUACGUAGGUGACAAGCGUUAUCCGGAUUUACUGGGUGUAAAGGGCGUGUAGGCGGUUUGGCAAGUCAGAAGUGAAAUUCCCGGGCUUAACUUGGGCGCUGCUUCUGAAACUGCUUAACUUGAGUACUGGAGAGGAUAGUGGAAUUCCUAGUGUAGCGGUAAAAUGCACAGAUAUUAGGAGGAACACCGGUGGCGAAGGCGGCUAUCUGGACAGUAACUGACGCUGAGGCGCGAAAGCACGGGGAGCAAACAGGAUUAGAUACCCUGGUA
RNAcentral lists this ribosomal RNA (434 nucleotides) under uncultured Saccharofermentans sp. RNAcentral describes it as "partial 16S ribosomal RNA". It matches the Rfam family "Bacterial small subunit ribosomal RNA", at positions 341 to 792 of the family's 1533-position model. Lineage: Bacteria; Bacillati; Bacillota; Clostridia; Eubacteriales; Oscillospiraceae. The record is from RNAcentral.